Molecule: long non-coding RNA, 169 nt
Organism: Octopus sinensis (East Asian common octopus)
Lineage: Eukaryota; Metazoa; Mollusca; Cephalopoda; Octopoda; Octopodidae
Exons: 3
Source: RefSeq, a predicted model, not a curated record
AUUCCAAAAUCCAAAUCCUAUAAAACCUAUUCAAAGGUUUUUGCACCUGAAAAAUGGAGCACAUGAAGCUCUAAAAUGUGGGAGUUAAGGCCCCUAUUAGGGGGGUCUUAAAGUCAAUCAGAGAACUUGAAUUGUUGGGAAUCUUUUUUAACUUGGGUCUUAUAGAAUG